RNAcentral lists this transfer RNA (85 nucleotides) under Felis catus (domestic cat). It matches the Rfam family "tRNA". Rfam says of the family: Transfer RNA (tRNA) molecules are approximately 80 nucleotides in length. Lineage: Eukaryota; Metazoa; Chordata; Mammalia; Carnivora; Felidae. The record is from Rfam by way of RNAcentral.
GCCUGGGUGGCUCAGUCAGUUGAGCGUCUGACUUCGGCUCAGGUCAUGAUCUCACAGUCUGUGAGUUCGAGCCCCGCGUCAGGCU